RNAcentral lists this small nuclear RNA (164 nucleotides) under Chelonoidis abingdonii (Abingdon island giant tortoise). RNAcentral describes it as "U1 spliceosomal RNA (ENSCABG00000021730.1)". It matches the Rfam family "U1 spliceosomal RNA". Rfam says of the family: U1 is a small nuclear RNA (snRNA) component of the spliceosome (involved in pre-mRNA splicing). Its 5' end forms complementary base pairs with the 5' splice junction, thus defining the 5' donor site of an intron. Lineage: Eukaryota; Metazoa; Chordata; Testudines; Testudinidae. The record is from Rfam by way of RNAcentral.
UGUUCUACCUGGCAGGGGAGAUACCAUGAUCACGAAGGUAGUUUUCCCAGAGUGAGGUUCAUCCAUUGCACUGUGGGUGUGCUGACCCCUGCGAUUUCCCCAAAUGCGGGAAACUCGACUUCAUAAUUUGUGGAAGUGGGGGAUUGUGUUUGCGCUCUCCCCUU